CCAGCGGAGGGAUCAUUACCGAGUUUACAACUCCCAAACCCAAUGUGAACCAUACCAAACUGUUGCCUCGGCGGGGUCACGCCCCGGGUGCGUCGCAGCCCCGGAACCAGGCGCCCGCCGGAGGGACCAACCAAACUCUUUUCUGUAGUCCCCUCGCGGACGUUAUUUCUUACAGCUCUGAGCAAAAAUUCAAAAUGAAUCAAAACUUUCAACAACGGAUCUCUUGGUUCUGGCAUCGAUGAAGAACGCAGCGAAAUGCGAUAAGUAAUGUGAAUUGCAGAAUUCAGUGAAUCAUCGAAUCUUUGAACGCACAUUGCGCCCGCCAGUAUUCUGGCGGGCAUGCCUGUCCGAGCGUCAUUUCAACCCUCGAACCCCUCCGGGGGGUCGGCGUUGGGGACCUCGGGAGCCCCUAAGACGGGAUCCCGGCCCCGAAAUACAGUGGCGGUCUCGCCGCAGCCUCUCCUGCGCAGUAGUUUGCACAACUCGCACCGGGAGCGCGGCGCGUCCACGUCCGUAAAACACCCAACUUUCUGAAAUGUUGACCUCGGAUCAGGUAGGAAUACCCGCUGAACUUAAGCAUAUCAAUAAGCGGAGGAAAAGAAACCAACAGGGAUUGCCCCAGUAAC
This 626-nucleotide ribosomal RNA is filed under the name Trichoderma sp. BAB-3897. Its description in RNAcentral is "eukaryotic LSU rRNA". The stretch from base 204 to 357 matches the Rfam family "5.8S ribosomal RNA". The record is from RNAcentral. Lineage: Eukaryota; Fungi; Ascomycota; Sordariomycetes; Hypocreales; Hypocreaceae.